GAACUUGGAAACCCUUUCUUGCAAAAAUUUCGUAGCCACCUUCUACCGUCUUCGAGCUCAGCAGAACCUGAAAGUCUGGAGCCACUGCACCGCUCUUGACGCAUGGCCCUGGAACAAUCUCCUCAAUCUCUUCCAUUCCGUCCAGCGUG
Molecule: non-coding RNA, 149 nt
Filed under: Picochlorum sp. RCC944
Lineage: Eukaryota; Viridiplantae; Chlorophyta; Trebouxiophyceae
Source: RNAcentral